GCGGAAGGAGCUCAGUUGAUAGAGCAUUAGCCUUCCAAGCUGAGGGUCGCGGGGUUGAGCCCCGUCUUCCGCU
Molecule: transfer RNA, 73 nt
Filed under: Phocaeicola plebeius
Lineage: Bacteria; Pseudomonadati; Bacteroidota; Bacteroidia; Bacteroidales; Bacteroidaceae
Description: Bacteroides plebeius tRNA-Gly
Rfam family: tRNA
About the family: Transfer RNA (tRNA) molecules are approximately 80 nucleotides in length. Their secondary structure includes four short double-helical elements and three loops (D, anti-codon, and T loops). Further hydrogen bonds mediate the characteristic L-shaped molecular structure. tRNAs have two regions of fundamental functional importance: the anti-codon, which is responsible for specific mRNA codon recognition, and the 3' end, to which the tRNAs corresponding amino acid is attached (by aminoacyl-tRNA synthetases). tRNAs cope with the degeneracy of the genetic code in two manners: having more than one tRNA (with a specific anti-codon) for a particular amino acid; and 'wobble' base-pairing, i.e. permitting non-standard base-pairing at the 3rd anti-codon position.
Source: RNAcentral